Molecule: long non-coding RNA, 262 nt
Organism: Panthera uncia (snow leopard)
Lineage: Eukaryota; Metazoa; Chordata; Mammalia; Carnivora; Felidae
Exons: 3
Source: RefSeq, a predicted model, not a curated record
CAAGACCCAGGAGCAUGAGCUGUCCACUGGAGAAAAAGAUAGUUCUUGCAUCAGAAUGGACAGUCCCCUUCAAGUCUGAAAAGAGCUGGUUUAAGUCCCAGCUGCUCUUUGUGAACCAGGACUGAACAUAUCUUUGUACCCUCUACCUCCAACACGAGGCCUGGAACUUGACACGCCAAGGCUAUUCUGAGCAUGGAAAUGUGUGACACUCCACCAUCUUAUCCAAGUGGACUAUGCAAGAUUUCCAUCUCCCCAUUUCCAC